UACGUAGGGGGCAAGCGUUGUCCGGAAUCAUUGGGCGUAAAGAGCGUGUAGGCGGCCAGAUAAGUCCGCUGUGAAAUCUCGAGGCUCAACUUCGAGCUGUCGGUGGAAACUGUCUGGCUAGAGUCCGGAAGAGGAGAAUGGAAUUCCUGGUGUAGCGGUGAAAUGCGCAGAUAUCAGGAGGAACACCGGUGGCGAAGGCGGGUCUCUGGGCCGAUACUGACGCUGAGGAGCGAAGGCGUGGGGAGCGAACAGG
RNAcentral lists this ribosomal RNA (253 nucleotides) under uncultured bacterium. Its description in RNAcentral is "partial 16S ribosomal RNA". It matches the Rfam family "Bacterial small subunit ribosomal RNA", at positions 524 to 776 of the family's 1533-position model. The record is from RNAcentral.